CAAUAGCGUAUAUUAAAGUUGUUGCAGUUAAAAAGCUCGUAGUUGGACCUUGGACCUGGACAGGCGGUCCGCCUCACGGCGAGUACUGUCUUGCUGGGUCUUUCCUCUUGGUGAUCUGUCGUUUCGGCAGCAGGGAACCAGGACCUUUACUUUGAAAAAAUUAGAGUGUUCAAAGCAGGCUCGACGCCGGAAUAUAUUAGCAUGGAAUAAUAAAAUAGGACGUGCGGUUCUAUUUUGUUGGUUUUUGGAAUCGCCGUAAUGAUUAAUAGGGACAGUCGGGGGCAUUAGUACUCACAUGCUAGAGGUGAAAUUCUUGGAUUUUGUGAAGACUAACUUCUGCGAAAGCAUUUGCCAAGGAUGUUUUCAUUA
Molecule: ribosomal RNA, 369 nt
Filed under: uncultured eukaryote
Lineage: Eukaryota
Description: partial 18S ribosomal RNA
Rfam family: Eukaryotic small subunit ribosomal RNA
Source: RNAcentral